RNAcentral lists this small nuclear RNA (164 nucleotides) under Nicotiana sylvestris (wood tobacco). RNAcentral's name for it is "U1 spliceosomal RNA". It matches the Rfam family "U1 spliceosomal RNA". From Rfam's summary of the family: U1 is a small nuclear RNA (snRNA) component of the spliceosome (involved in pre-mRNA splicing). Its 5' end forms complementary base pairs with the 5' splice junction, thus defining the 5' donor site of an intron. Lineage: Eukaryota; Viridiplantae; Streptophyta; Magnoliopsida; Solanales; Solanaceae. The record is from Rfam by way of RNAcentral. RNAcentral also lists the same sequence under 1 other name.
UUACUUACCUGGACGGGUCGAUGGGCGAUCAGCAAGAACCAUGGCCUAGGCUGAUGACUUUCAUUGCACAAUAUUGGAGGGGUGCUAGCCUAAUUAAGGUUGACCCAAGUGGUCGAGCCUACAUCAUAAUUUGUGGUGGGGGCAUGCGUUCGCGCAGCCCCUAU